RNAcentral lists this unclassified non-coding RNA (1303 nucleotides) under Leishmania donovani. Its description in RNAcentral is "gene:unknown". The record is from RNAcentral. Lineage: Eukaryota; Euglenozoa; Kinetoplastea; Trypanosomatida; Trypanosomatidae.
UUUUCGCUCUCCCUCGCCACGUGUCGUCCUGUCUUUUGCUUGUCUACUUUGGUGUCGGCGAGUCAGUGAUGUCUGAGUGAAAAGAGCAAACCAAACACACUUCAGAGGCCUGCGCGAAAUUGGUGCGGCUGAAUCGUCGUUGUCUCCUGUCACGGCUAAGCAAUGACAAUGAACACAGAAAUGUCUCCUGGUAAACUUCAUUGACACAGUGAGGAAGAGAAAAGGACACGAAUAGGAUAAACCAAAGAAAUCAGGAGCGAAAUCAACGCCAACGAACACGACGCGGAUGCACCAGAAAAAGAGUGAAGCGAAAACACACACAGACCCGCACCGUGCGGUUAUAGUGGCUCAUUCUGCUCUCCGUCCUGCUCGGUGCGCUGCUCCCUGCCGUUGUUCAAACUUAUAGUGAUAUGCCGAGGUGCGGCUAAGCAGAAUCGUGACAUGCUCCCAAUAACAUCCGUACCCGUUCCCUCCCUUUACGCCAGCUCGCAAAGAAAAGGCGUGGGUGAGAGUACACAUAAUGCUGUGAAGUUGUUCGGGCGUCGGAGCAAGGUGAUCGAUACGCACUGCCGCACAAUUGUUUUCACUUUUGCGUCUUGCAUACUCUAUGCCAUCAGCCAUGGUUCUUUCUUGUUUGUCCUUGCUCAUUUCUUUGUAUUCUCGGACACAUCGGUUGUGCAGGCACACGUAUACACCAUACCCACAAGCCGUGCGUACAUGUUGAGCACAUGCGUUUUUUUUUAUUAUUGUUUUCGUAGUUCUGUUUUUGCUUCCGUUGUGUUUCUCAGGCCCCUUCGUCGCUCUGACCAUCUCUCACUCUCCUGAUCUCACUGUGUCUUUGUCUGCUUCUUCAGCAGCCAGAGAGAACGCGGAAGAGAUGGACAAAAAAGGGAUCGACUCAGGCUUUCAUUUUUUUUUCUCUUGGAGCUAAUAUCGGCGCUGUGGUGCUCUCUGUCCAUUCUCGUUCUUUCAUCCAUUAUUCUCCCAUUGCCAGGCAAACGCGCCGAAAAAAAAGAAAGUCGGAGACCAUUCACAGCUUCAAGGCACAGUGGCUGCAUCAAGCAACCGAUCUGCGCCGUUGUGUGUGUGUGUGUGUGCCUGCGCACCUUCAGGUUGUAGCGACCGAUCUUUUCUUGAUCACUUCGCGGCCUCUCUUUGUGAGAGUGUGCGCCUCUGUAUAUGUCUGUGUUUCAGGAGGAUUGUGCUUCUACUGGGGCACAUGGUGUUCCCUUAUGAAUGCUCCCCUGUUCUUUGCACCGCGUAUUGUGAUGUCUUGACGCGGAGCAACACAGCGCUCAAGCCG